Gorilla gorilla gorilla (western lowland gorilla) is the source of this 1345-nucleotide long non-coding RNA. RefSeq lists it as uncharacterized. The record is from RefSeq and is a predicted model, not a curated record. Lineage: Eukaryota; Metazoa; Chordata; Mammalia; Primates; Hominidae. The transcript is spliced from 4 exons.
AGAGCCACGCCCCUUCCGGGAGGGAAGGCCGCCCCUUCCCGGCCGGGCUGCCCAAUCCUGAACCAGGACUCAGGGGCCGCCCCCGAAGCUUUCUCUCCCUCCUUGCGGGCAAGCCUCAAGCCCCGCCCACUCCUGCCCCCUAGGUCUGACGGGGACUCCGGCUCGGAGCUGGGCCCCCGAGGCCGCCAGGGAGGUGACUGCGGGCGACGCCGGGAUUUUGGUUUGGGUAACUGGGUAGAUGGGGGCGCCAUUAUCGCGCUUCUCUUGCAGGGGGCCGGUGAAGGUUAUACGAGAGGCUCCAUCUGUCCUUAUAGAAAGUGCUCUUAACGCAGGGACCAGCCGUCUUGCUGACGCCUGGGCCACCGAGCACAGGGACAGGACGGGGUUGCUGGAGGUGAGGAUGCCGCGUGUCAGGAGUGGGGAUGAAGGAGGAGAAGGUGUUCACUUUUGGACAUGUGACGUGAUAGCACUGGGCAGAGGGGAGGAAGCUCAGACCUUGGAGCAGUGGGCCCGGCAAGGUGGCCCUUGAUGGGGCAGGGGACGGGUAGGGACAGGUAGGGACAGGUCAUGGGGCCCAUGCAAUGACCAGGGAGGUGGAGGAGCAGUAGGACAGUGUCACAGAGGCAACAGGAAGCUGUCACAGGAGGGAGUGGGUCACAGGCCAAGUGCUGCUGAGGCCUCGGCGGUGUACACAGCACGGCAGGGGGGGCGGGGGUACAGGGCCUUCGGUGAUGCAGGGGACACCUGAGGGAGGAAGUGAGGAGGGCAGCAGGGCCCCAAGUAGUUGGUGUUAACAAGAAUAAACAAUUAGGGGCCAAGAAAUCCCAGGCGGUAGCUGAAAGAAAAACACAGCCUGGGUUUGCUGUUUAAAGAUGGGACAGGCAGGCGGGGCCAGGUCCCCCUGGAGUGGUUUCCUCCUUAAGGUGCAAGCUGGGAGAAAGCAGAGAACUGACUCCAUGCAGAGUUGGGAUUAAGAGCCCCUGGACAAGGGGCUGAGGCAGUGAAGGACGUCCAUCACUCAUCUGCCACUAUCCGCCUCACAUUUAAUCCUCACAACACCCCUGUGAGGUUUAUCCGCUUCACCUGUUGCCGGGGACCACUGCUCUCCGGGGGACUUGGGGGACGACACUGUAAACAUGACUUCCUGGCCUGAUGGUGGCAGGGCUGUGUGUGCGAGUCACUGUCCAGGGACAGCACUGAGGUAGACCACGGUGACAUCGAGGAUGCCGCUGGGAGCUGUCACUGCAGGAAGGUUGGUGGGGAGGAAAGUCAUGUCACACCCAAGCAUCAGGGGAGACCCCCUGCCAGGUCAGGACCCUGAAGUCCAGGUCAAGAAUCUUCUACC